UACGUAGGGGGCAAGCGUUGUCCGGAAUCAUUGGGCGUAAAGCGCACGUAGGCGGCCCUGUAAGUCCGUUGUGAAAGUCAAAGGCUCAACCUUUGAAUGCCGAUGGAUACUGCAGGGCUAGAGUCCGGAAGAGGCGAGUGGAAUUCCUGGUGUAGCGGUGGAAUGCGCAGAUAUCAGGAGGAACACCGGUGGCGAAGGCGGUUCUCUGGGCAUUACCUGACGCUGAGGAGCGAAAGCAUGGGGAGCGAACAGG
Molecule: ribosomal RNA, 253 nt
Filed under: uncultured bacterium
Lineage: Bacteria
Description: partial 16S ribosomal RNA
Rfam family: Bacterial small subunit ribosomal RNA
Source: RNAcentral